UACGAAGGGUGCAAGCGUUGCUCGGAAUUAUUGGGCGUAAAGGGUAGGUAGGUGGUGAUAUUUGUCUGGGGUGAAAUCCCUGAGCUUAACUCAGGAAGUGCCUUGGAAGCGGUAUCACUCGAGUACUGGAGAGGUUCGCAGAAUUCUUGGUGUAGCGGUGAAAUGCGUAGAGAUCAAGAGGAAUACCAGAGGCGAAGGCGGCGAACUGGACAGUUACUGACACUCAACUACGAAAGCGUGGGGAGCAAACAGG
Molecule: ribosomal RNA, 253 nt
Filed under: uncultured bacterium
Lineage: Bacteria
Description: partial 16S ribosomal RNA
Rfam family: Bacterial small subunit ribosomal RNA
Source: RNAcentral